This 1389-nucleotide long non-coding RNA is filed under the name Callithrix jacchus (white-tufted-ear marmoset). RNAcentral's name for it is "lncRNA (ENSCJAG00000082551.1)". Lineage: Eukaryota; Metazoa; Chordata; Mammalia; Primates; Cebidae. The record is from RNAcentral.
AUGGGCGAGUGCAAGGAUUACAGAUGAUAGCUUUUAGUGAAGGGCAAAAUCUUUUAAAUCUUUUAUGGCUGAAAUUUCAAGGCAAAGUCAAAACUAGAUUAGAAGAUAAUCAAUACUCUGAGACUUACUAGGAGGUUCAGAACAUUUUUACUCCAAAUGCCUAUCUUAAGAAAUGGUUUUGGAAAACAGCCUCAAAUAGAAUCAGUAAAAGGAGCUUUUUCAAGGUGAUAAAAGAAAAAUGUAUUUUAAAAUAUACAAAAUGAGUAUAAUAAACAUCUUAUUAGUCCAGAAAAAUGUAGCCAAAAUGGUUAUCUGUAUGUAAUAAUGGCAGUUCUGAUGUGCACAUGUCCAAAGCUUCUCUUGAGUAAAUUUGCCUUUUACCAGCUUUUCUCAUACAUAUUAGAUUCAAGAUGUUAGAAGAUACAUAAAGCUAACUGUUUUCUUCUAGUCUAUGGGGCUUCAUGAUGUAUUCUCUAGGCUAUGGCUGGACAAAAUUGGCAAGUGUUAGUCUUAUAAUUGAGCCUUUAAGAGAUUUUUGCAAGAAGUGUUUCAAAUUAAGUCUUCUAUAUGCAACUUAAUUUGAGGUUGCCAUCCAAAAAUUAAUUGUGAGUGAAUCUAUUGUUAUAUCAAAAGUGUUAUGCAAUACCCUGUUUGUUGAAUAACAUGUAUGGAGCCUCUACCAGAUGAUACAACAGUCUUUUGUGUAAUGCCUCCUAAAGCUUCCUCCAACUCACUAGACAUUUCUCCUCUCUCCUUCAAUUUUCUGCACCAUACCCGCCCAGUCUCUCAGGCCAUGAUGUUGCAUCAUAUCUAAAUGAUAAAAUCUAAUUAUUCUUAUUUUCUACAAGACAUACAAACCUUCUUGCAUCUAUACCUAUCCAAUUUCAUUCUCUAUUAUUAAGAAAACAUCUUUCAUCUCUCAAAGGUAUGAUUCCCCACCUGCCCUAGCCUUCGCACAGGCUUUGCAUCCCUCUCUUAAUUGUGCCAAACUCUAACAUCUGUCUUAUCGUUGCCAUUAGCAACACACGCAAGUAUCUUUUCUAUUCAAGAAGAGUCUCAUAUUCCCCUCCAGAUAUCACCUUUUUUUUUUUUUUUUUUGCUAUUCCCCUUUACUUUAUAACUUUUCAAGAAUCGUUUAUUCCUGCUGUCUCCAUUUUCUCACAUCACAUCUACCUCUCUUUCCACUCCAGCUUGGGCUACAUCUUUUCUUCCUACCCGCCUGUGAAGCUAUUUGUUCCAAGGUUGCCAAUCAUAUCUCUGCUGUUAAAAUUCAUGUGGUGAAAUCCUAACCCCCUACUAAGAGGUAGAACAUUUGGAAAGUGGUCAUACUUUUGUAACAAAAUUAAAGCCCUUACAAAGUGGCCUGAGAAAGAUUCCUCACCCUUUUUA